UACGGAGGGUGCGAGCGUUGUCCGGAAUUAUUGGGCGUAAAGAGCUUGUAGGCGGUUUGUCGCGUCUGCCGUGAAAAUCCGGGGCUCAACCCCGGACUUGCGGUGGGUACGGGCAGACUAGAGUGUGGUAGGGGAGACUGGAAUUCCUGGUGUAGCGGUGAAAUGCGCAGAUAUCAGGAGGAACACCGAUGGCGAAGGCAGGUCUCUGGGCCACUACUGACGCUGAGAAGCGAAAGCGUGGGGAGCGAACAGG
RNAcentral lists this ribosomal RNA (253 nucleotides) under uncultured bacterium. Its description in RNAcentral is "partial 16S ribosomal RNA". It matches the Rfam family "Bacterial small subunit ribosomal RNA", at positions 524 to 776 of the family's 1533-position model. The record is from RNAcentral.